Nicotiana tabacum (common tobacco) is the source of this 638-nucleotide long non-coding RNA. RefSeq lists it as uncharacterized. The record is from RefSeq and is a predicted model, not a curated record. NCBI's taxonomy places the organism in Eukaryota, Viridiplantae, Streptophyta, Magnoliopsida, Solanales, Solanaceae.
GCCAUAAAUUAAUCUAUUGUGAUGGUUUGUGUAACCGUGGUAGUAGGCUAUUCUGUGGUAAUGGUUAUCUGAAAAAAUAUACUUUGGCGACCAUCAAUGUUUCCCACCUCGUUUUCCCUCCCUAAAUUUCAUUAAACCCUAUCAGUCCCUCAUUCUUAUUUUAAGUGGCCUAGUUUUGUUAUUUUAUUUUAACCCCAAUAAACACCCAAAAUCCCUUAUUCUAUAGGCGCUUCGUAAAUGUCCAAACACCCAAAUAUCAGAUAUUAUCAUCUCUUCUCCUCCUCCAUCAAUGAGAUAGCCUCCUUCUCCAACGCUAGCUCUUCACUCUCUAAUUUUACCAACUGGGUUUUCCUCUAUUGACCCAAAUUGGAUUCUCUUAGGGCUUAUGUUUCUCUUGCCCAAGUCUCCUUUUGUCCCAACAGGUGGAGCAAUUGAAGAAAGGGAAGAUGGAGAUCGUGAAGAUCUAGACCUUACUUAAGAAGAACUUUGAAUUGUUGUCGAUGUUCUAGGAGUCUUUUGUUAUCAACAUUUGAAACUUUAACUUUUGAAGUGUUGAACUGUAAAACUUAUGUAAUUGGGUUAAAACAUUUUGCUAUUAUGGUUAUUAUUAGCUUAUUGGAACGUAUAGAUUAUGAAGA